UAAGGUUAGAUUAGUAAUUUAACUCACGCGAAUGACCUCCUCUCACAAACAUUCUUUUUCGUAAUUCUUUCUCUCUCUCCUUUCAACUUUCUCUCUCCUCAUGCGGACUCUCGCCAUUUUCUCCCUCCUCUCGUUCUUCUACAUCUCUCGUGCCAACCUUAGAAGAUUCAAUUUAUUCAUUGUCAUCACAAAUCUGUGGUCUGGGACUGCAGUGGAAAGAGUUGUAGCUGCUGGAGUGGUGCCGUGAAAGACUGGAUGGGAGGCGGGUGUUGCUGAGAUGGCUACUGCAAGGCGGGGUAUAUUAAUUGCUUCUAGACUGGGGUAUGAGAAAGUGGUGAUUGAAACGGAUCCCUUUGGUUUCUACUGCUGCUGGUAAAGGUUGAUAGGCAUAAGGGUUGAUGUUCAGUAGAUCAGCCUCUAAUCUGUUUGCUACUGGUCUGUUGCUAUAGUCUUAUUAUCCUUUGGUGUUGUUAGGUUAGGUACUACAACUGAUGAAUCUGACAGGUUGGGGAUUUUCAGUCUGCCAGUUUUAUUUGAAUUCUAAAAGUGAUACUGUAUCUGAUUAAAACCAGAAUCACGCGAUGGUAAAUAAGAAGCAAAGUCCAAAAGUGGUGAAUUUUGUUGGUUGACAUUGUUGAUCAAAUAGUUGAGGUAUUAUGUAAAAUACAUAGCCUUUACUUUUGAACUA
Molecule: long non-coding RNA, 688 nt
Organism: Spinacia oleracea (spinach)
Lineage: Eukaryota; Viridiplantae; Streptophyta; Magnoliopsida; Caryophyllales; Amaranthaceae
Exons: 2
Source: RefSeq, a predicted model, not a curated record